This 469-nucleotide ribosomal RNA is filed under the name uncultured bacterium. RNAcentral describes it as "partial 16S ribosomal RNA". It matches the Rfam family "Bacterial small subunit ribosomal RNA", at positions 28 to 507 of the family's 1533-position model. The record is from RNAcentral.
GACGAACGCUGGCGGCGUGCUUAACACAUGCAAGUCGAACGGAAAGGCCCUGCUUGCAGGGUGCUCGAGUGGCGAACGGGUGAGUAACACGUGGGUGAUCUGCCCCUUACUUUGGGAUAAGCCUGGGAAACUGGGUCUAAUACUGGAUAGGACCAUGCUGUAGGUGGUGUGGUGGAAAGAUUAGUUUCGGUAAGGGAUGAGCUCGCGGCCUAUCAGCUUGUUGGUGGGGUAAUGGCCUACCAAGGCGUCGACGGGUAGCCGGCCUGAGAGGGUGGACGGCCACAUUGGGACUGAGAUACGGCCCAGACUCCUACGGGAGGCAGCAGUGGGGAAUAGUGCACAAUGGGCGCAAGCCUGAUGCAGCGACGCCGCGUGGGGAAUGACGGCCUUCGGGUUGUAAACUCCUUUCAGCCAUGACGAAGCCCUUGUGGUGACGGUAGUGGUAGAAGAAGCACCGGCUAACUACGUG